GGAUUAGGCAUGCAAGUCGAACGGGCACCUUCGGGUGUCAGUGGCGGACGGGUGAGUAAUGCAUAGACAACCUGCCCUCGAGAUGGGGACAACUUCCCGAAAGGGGAGCUAAUACCCAAUACCGUGCAGCGUCGCGAGAGGCUGCAUGAAAGAUUGCCUCUGUUCCAAGCUUUCGCUCGAGGAGGGGUUUAUGUCCUAUUAGCUUGUUGGUGAGGUAACUGCUCACCAAGGCGACGAUGGGUAGCCGACCUGAGAGGGUGACCGGCCACACUGGGACUGAGACACUGCCCAGACUCCUACGGGAGGCUGCAGUCGAGAAUCUUCCGCAAUGCGCGCAAGCGUGACGGAGCGACGCCGCGUGGGUGAUGAAGGCCUUCGGGUUGUAAAGCCCUGUCACCUACUAUGAAAAGCGGGCGGUGAAUAGUUGUCCCGCUUGACGUAAGUAGGAGAGGAAGCACCGGCUAAAUACGUGCCAGCAGCCGCGGUAAUACGUAUGGUGCAAACGUUGUUCGGAUUCACUGGGCAUAAAGCGCGCGUAGGCGGUCGGGUAAGUCCGAUGUGAAAUCCCUCGGCUCAACCGGGGAACUGCAUCGGAUACUGCCUGACUAGAGUGCAGGAGGGGAGAGUGGAAUUCCUGGUGGAGCGGUGAAAUGCGUAGAUAUCAGGAGGAACGCCGGUGGCGAAAGCGACUCUCUGGCCUGUGACUGACGCUGAGGCGCGAAAGCUAGGGGAGCGAACGGGAUUAGAUACCCCGGUAGUCCUAGCCCUAAACGAUGGGCACUAAGUAGAGGGGUUUU
Molecule: ribosomal RNA, 797 nt
Filed under: uncultured Planctomycetota bacterium
Lineage: Bacteria; Pseudomonadati; Planctomycetota
Description: bacterial SSU rRNA
Rfam family: Bacterial small subunit ribosomal RNA
Source: RNAcentral